UUUUACUAAUAUUUUUCCAGCUUUCAACCCCCCCCCCCCCCCGCCCCGCCCCUCCUCCUUCUGUCUACCUUUUCGUGUUUUCACUUUUCUUGGUUCCUCGGAAUUCAAGUUCCCCACAGGAGAAAUUGAAGGCACUAGGCAACACAACAAUGGCGAAUGACCUUUUUCAAGAUCUGCUGCCGCCAUCUGUUUCUAAUUCCGAACAAAAUGCACUAUCUUCAAACAACAAUAAUAUCAGAUUCAGCAGCGCUCAAGAAUCUGUACCAAUCCCACCUCCUCCCGCUCCUGCACAUAAGAGCGCUCUCAAACGUCCUAAGCCACCUCCUGAAUCACAGCCCCAAGGUAUUUCAUAUCAUUCCCUUGCAAAAUUCAAUUUUAUUGAUUUUUACUUGUCGAGCCUUCUGGAUUUGGUUAUUGUUUGAAUACUCGUGUUUUGCCGUUAUACGUGUGUUGUUUAGCUGUGAAAAAUGGGUAAUAUUGGAGAAUAUAUAUUCUUCGACUUUUAGUGAUAAUUGUUUGGUUUCAGGGCUUUUUUGAGGGUUUCGUAGCCUUGCUGUGGUAUGAUUGCCUUGUGAAGGUGAUUCCAUUUGUGGUUUAUAAUUUGUUCAAUAUUUGAUGGGGGAUGAUGUUUAUGGCAAUUUUAAAAUUUUUGCAACAAAUGAGUUAUUAUUAUUAUUAUUAUUAUUAUAUAUUUUUUUAUAAGUUUUGGUCUAAGAUGCGAAUCAUGAAAAGCCAAUUGGGGUUUCUAAAACUGAUCGAAUGCAAUUAAAAUAUAAGAUUUUUAUCCUCGGUUAGCCUUUUGGCAAUUCACCUCUUUAGUAAUGAGGAAAUACACGAAAAUGGACUUUCCACUGUAGCAAAUUUUCAUAUUGGCUUUUGACCCAUUAAAUGAAUUAAAAAAAAAAAGAAAUUAUUAUCCGUUGUUCGAUGCUCUAACAUUUGAAUUUUUGCAGGAUGGAGUAUCAUUUAGAUGGGGAGUUGAGACGGAUGGCGGGGAAAGCUACUUGGAAUAGUAGCUUUGAGAGUUUUACUGCUGUGUUGGAGCUGCUCGAUGAUCAGCACACAGAUAUGCUACGACAGUCCUUCUUAUGGCCACUGUACCAGUUGCGAGAGAUGCAGUACUCAGGACAGAUUAUCGAUGCACUUCUAUGUCGGCUUCUGAGGCCAGUCGACGGCGAUUCCCUCCAGUUCGACCUCGGGGGCAAGGUCGUCAGUUUCUCGACAUUUGAGUUUACAUUGAUCACUGGACUGAGGAUUACGGGCGACGAUACAGCCAUUGAGAGAAGCAAUAGGCUGUACGAGACGUACUUCCAGGGACAUGGGUCGGUGCUUCUACCCGACUUGAUGGUCGCGAUGCGACCAGAUGCUAGAUAGAUUGAAGUUUGGGCUGAUCUACAUCCUCGAGAGUAUGAUGAUGUGUCAUCACAAGAAGACUGCUAUCGAUAUUUUUCAUUUGCAAGUUGUUGACGACAUCGAUGCGUUCAAUAACUAUCCAUGGGGUCGGAGAUGCUACGAAGACACUGUACAUGUCUUCACCAGAGCACACUCGAGGCCCAGGGGGUCGAUGCGUAAAUACGAUACAUAUGGAUUGUCCUUAGCGGUGCAGGUAAAUGUUUAAUAUAAUCAAAGUUAAAGUUUUAGUAUAUUACAUUUGUGCAUGAUAAGUAUGUGUUACAGAUUUGGGUGUAUGAGACAGUUCUUGUAUUGGGGGCCCACUUUGCG
RNAcentral lists this long non-coding RNA (1722 nucleotides) under Olea europaea subsp. europaea. The record is from RNAcentral. Lineage: Eukaryota; Viridiplantae; Streptophyta; Magnoliopsida; Lamiales; Oleaceae.